Molecule: ribosomal RNA, 2904 nt
Filed under: Escherichia coli
Lineage: Bacteria; Pseudomonadati; Pseudomonadota; Gammaproteobacteria; Enterobacterales; Enterobacteriaceae
Description: 23S ribosomal RNA
Rfam family: Bacterial large subunit ribosomal RNA
Source: RNAcentral
GGUUAAGCGACUAAGCGUACACGGUGGAUGCCCUGGCAGUCAGAGGCGAUGAAGGACGUGCUAAUCUGCGAUAAGCGUCGGUAAGGUGAUAUGAACCGUUAUAACCGGCGAUUUCCGAAUGGGGAAACCCAGUGUGAUUCGUCACACUAUCAUUAACUGAAUCCAUAGGUUAAUGAGGCGAACCGGGGGAACUGAAACAUCUAAGUACCCCGAGGAAAAGAAAUCAACCGAGAUUCCCCCAGUAGCGGCGAGCGAACGGGGAGCAGCCCAGAGCCUGAAUCAGUGUGUGUGUUAGUGGAAGCGUCUGGAAAGGCGCGCGAUACAGGGUGACAGCCCCGUACACAAAAAUGCACAUACUGUGAGCUCGAUGAGUAGGGCGGGACACGUGGUAUCCUGUCUGAAUAUGGGGGGACCAUCCUCCAAGGCUAAAUACUCCUGACUGACCGAUAGUGAACCAGUACCGUGAGGGAAAGGCGAAAAGAACCCCGGCGAGGGGAGUGAAAAAGAACCUGAAACCGUGUACGUACAAGCAGUGGGAGCCUCUUAAUGGGGUGACUGCGUACCUUUUGUAUAAUGGGUCAGCGACUUAUAUUCUGUAGCAAGGUUAACCGAAUAGGGGAGCCGAAGGGAAACCGAGUCUUAACUGGGCGUUAAGUUGCAGGGUAUAGACCCGAAACCCGGUGAUCUAGCCAUGGGCAGGUUGAAGGUUGGGUAACACUAACUGGAGGACCGAACCGACUAAUGUUGAAAAAUUAGCGGAUGACUUGUGGCUGGGGGUGAAAGGCCAAUCAAACCGGGAGAUAGCUGGUUCUCCCCGAAAGCUAUUUAGGUAGCGCCUCGUGAAUUCAUCUCCGGGGGUAGAGCACUGUUUCGGCAAGGGGGUCAUCCCGACUUACCAACCCGAUGCAAACUGCGAAUACCGGAGAAUGUUAUCACGGGAGACACACGGCGGGUGCUAACGUCCGUCGUGAAGAGGGAAACAACCCAGACCGCCAGCUAAGGUCCCAAAGUCAUGGUUAAGUGGGAAACGAUGUGGGAAGGCCCAGACAGCCAGGAUGUUGGCUUAGAAGCAGCCAUCAUUUAAAGAAAGCGUAAUAGCUCACUGGUCGAGUCGGCCUGCGCGGAAGAUGUAACGGGGCUAAACCAUGCACCGAAGCUGCGGCAGCGACACUAUGUGUUGUUGGGUAGGGGAGCGUUCUGUAAGCCUGUGAAGGUGUACUGUGAGGUAUGCUGGAGGUAUCAGAAGUGCGAAUGCUGACAUAAGUAACGAUAAAGCGGGUGAAAAGCCCGCUCGCCGGAAGACCAAGGGUUCCUGUCCAACGUUAAUCGGGGCAGGGUGAGUCGACCCCUAAGGCGAGGCCGAAAGGCGUAGUCGAUGGGAAACAGGUUAAUAUUCCUGUACUUGGUGUUACUGCGAAGGGGGGACGGAGAAGGCUAUGUUGGCCGGGCGACGGUUGUCCCGGUUUAAGCGUGUAGGCUGGUUUUCCAGGCAAAUCCGGAAAAUCAAGGCUGAGGCGUGAUGACGAGGCACUACGGUGCUGAAGCAACAAAUGCCCUGCUUCCAGGAAAAGCCUCUAAGCAUCAGGUAACAUCAAAUCGUACCCCAAACCGACACAGGUGGUCAGGUAGAGAAUACCAAGGCGCUUGAGAGAACUCGGGUGAAGGAACUAGGCAAAAUGGUGCCGUAACUUCGGGAGAAGGCACGCUGAUAUGUAGGUGAAGUCCCUCGCGGAUGGAGCUGAAAUCAGUCGAAGAUACCAGCUGGCUGCAACUGUUUAUUAAAAACACAGCACUGUGCAAACACGAAAGUGGACGUAUACGGUGUGACGCCUGCCCGGUGCCGGAAGGUUAAUUGAUGGGGUUAGCGGUAACGCGAAGCUCUUGAUCGAAGCCCCGGUAAACGGCGGCCGUAACUAUAACGGUCCUAAGGUAGCGAAAUUCCUUGUCGGGUAAGUUCCGACCUGCACGAAUGGCGUAAUGAUGGCCAGGCUGUCUCCACCCGAGACUCAGUGAAAUUGAACUCGCUGUGAAGAUGCAGUGUACCCGCGGCAAGACGGAAAGACCCCGUGAACCUUUACUAUAGCUUGACACUGAACAUUGAGCCUUGAUGUGUAGGAUAGGUGGGAGGCUUUGAAGUGUGGACGCCAGUCUGCAUGGAGCCGGCCUUGAAAUACCACCCUUUAAUGUUUGAUGUUCUAACGUUGGCCCCUGAUCGGGGUUGCGGACAGUGUCUGGUGGGUAGUUUGACUGGGGCGGUCUCCUCCUAAAGAGUAACGGAGGAGCACGAAGGUUGGCUAAUCCUGGUCGGACAUCAGGAGGUUAGUGCAAUGGCAUAAGCCAGCUUGACUGCGAGCGUGACGGCGCGAGCAGGUGCGAAAGCAGGUCAUAGUGAUCCGGUGGUUCUGAAUGGAAGGGCCAUCGCUCAACGGAUAAAAGGUACUCCGGGGAUAACAGGCUGAUACCGCCCAAGAGUUCAUAUCGACGGCGGUGUUUGGCACCUCGAUGUCGGCUCAUCACAUCCUGGGGCUGAAGUAGGUCCCAAGGGUAUGGCUGUUCGCCAUUUAAAGUGGUACGCGAGCUGGGUUUAGAACGUCGUGAGACAGUUCGGUCCCUAUCUGCCGUGGGCGCUGGAGAACUGAGGGGGGCUGCUCCUAGUACGAGAGGACCGGAGUGGACGCAUCACUGGUGUUCGGGUUGUCAUGCCAAUGGCACUGCCCGGUAGCUAAAUGCGGAAGAGAUAAGUGCUGAAAGCAUCUAAGCACGAAACUUGCCCCGAGAUGAGUUCUCCCUGACCCUUUAAGGGUCCUGAAGGAACGUUGAAGACGACGACGUUGAUAGGCCGGGUGUGUAAGCGCAGCGAUGCGUUGAGCUAACCGGUACUAAUGAACCGUGAGGCUUAACCUU